AUGCCUUUAACAGAUUCACAACCUCCUCUUCUUUCGUCUGUAAAUCCUUCCCCUUUUCUUCUCUGCGCCUCAAACCACUGUAAGUUUUUCGAACACCACCGAUCCGACCAUCGUGUCCUCCAAUCACUCUUCUUCGACGCACUUCUGUUUCGAAGCUAUGUCUCACUUCGAAGUUCAUUAUUUCGGGAUUCCAAACAAAAACAAUAA
Non-coding RNA from Vicia faba (fava bean), 207 nucleotides. NCBI's taxonomy places the organism in Eukaryota, Viridiplantae, Streptophyta, Magnoliopsida, Fabales, Fabaceae. The record is from the annotation of a GenBank genome assembly.